This 438-nucleotide unclassified non-coding RNA is filed under the name Hevea brasiliensis (rubber tree). Lineage: Eukaryota; Viridiplantae; Streptophyta; Magnoliopsida; Malpighiales; Euphorbiaceae. The record is from RNAcentral.
UUUUUUUUCCCUCCCCCUUCAAACUCGAGGAAUUUAUGUUUGUAGCUAUGUUGGGACAAGGAUGAAUUCUUUGUGCUCCCUCUUUGACAUGCAUAAAUUUGCUUACUGGAUCCUCAUUUUAUGCCUGAACAUUGUGCCCAUUGAAGGCAUAAAUUUUUGCAAGUCUUUACCAUUCAUCUGUUGGUAACAGAAGAAAUGCAAGCACAUGUUUUCAGAAGUAAUUCUCUCCUUGCAUUGUUGUUGCCUAUAAACAGAUGCAUCAAUUGUUUCUUGGAGUUGCUGAGUUGUUGUCAGAUGGUGUGAACAUUGCAACUGUAAGUUUUACAUGUAAAAGUUUUCUCACUUUCUUUAUCAUGGGAUAUCGAAUCUUCCAGAUAUAAUCAUCAUUUGGGUUUGAGUAACUCAUAUGGGAUGCAUUGAAAAAUUUAUUUCUUGCUA